CAGUGCAGGAUGAUUUGUAGUGCAUGAGCAUGUAAACACAUUACUGAGUCUUUUGUCAGAUUAUGUACACACAGCAGUGUGUGUGUGUGAAAAGUGUCUAAACCCGGAUUUUGUUUUAAAUAAUCUUCUCUAGUAGUCAUUAAUUAUUCUUUCUUGUUUUUGUAAAAAACAUUGACAUUACUAAAUAUAAUUAGUUGUGUGAACUUUUCAGACGAAAUGUUGAAUGCAGUUAUUAUGUCAAGUAGAGAUAGCUUAACAUGAUGAGAUUUUGCAAGGGGAGGAGCCCCGUUUGAACAUGUUUGAGCUGUGAAGAUUCCGGCUGAUGAUGUACACGAUGGACUGGAAAGCAGUAUGUAAUGGUGUUUGUGUGCAAGAAUCUCAAGCAUGAAAUCAUUGACUGACUUAGUCUAACUGAGAUAUUUCAGUCUAGGAGAAAUUGGGCAGCUGUUGACAGCUUUCACAUCAAAUCAAGACUAAAGAGCCAACUGAUGUCUCUGGUGCUCAGAGGACUCCCGAUCGUCUUUGGCCACAAACCUACAGAUAUCUACAAAGUAUUCUUUGACUCUUUGGAAUCCUCCUCAUUGAGCAUAAAGGCUCUCAUCUUCUCUCCAUCUCAAUCCAGCCUUAUUGAAGACCAUCACCGAAGGAGAAGUUGUGAUGGAAAAUAUUGACGAUUUGCCAAAAGCUACGAGCAUUCUGUAUGGACUUGAAUACACACUCCAUCUCAACUUCCCUAAAUCUAUACAAAACUCAUUCCAGUUCAUCCAACAGGUACUUUUCAUGAAAAAUCACCUUACAAUGUAAGGAAAUGCGUGAAGCUGCCAUGAGAAUCCACUUGUGUUUUGUUGUAUAAGACAUUAAAGUGUGUUCUGUCACUGCAUAUUAGUGCUGUUAGUGCUCAGUUAAUGUGUCACACAAUUUUUCUAAGGAUAUAGCAUAUAUUGUUGAAUACUGUGUGCUCAUGUUUCUUCCACAACCGAGUUAAAAUUUUUUAGUAAAUGCUUUCAAAGCUUAUUUUUACCUGUCCUGUGGAUGAGUUUAAUGCAUUGUCAUGUUACCAUUUAUUUGGUAAACAAUAAAAAAAUGUGCAUUGAAAUCUGUUUUCCUUUAUUGUUUUUCAAUUUAUUUUAAAAAAUGUUUCAUAGAAAAAAUAUCUCAAUCUAUGUCUAAUUACAUUGACAUUACAUAAAUAUAACAUUUAUCAUUACUUAAAAACAUUUGUUAAUGUUAUUUGCUAAUAUAUAUUUUUGUAUUUGUAACUUAAAAUAGUUAUUUAUGCAACCUAGAGAAUACUCCAAAUAAUAAUUGGUAUGAACUUAAGAUUUUGAGUAAUGACUACUAAUGUAAACUUGAUUUGUCUACUGCAUAAACUUAAAGUUCUAUGUUAAUUCAACAAAGGGCUGUUUAGUUUC
Long non-coding RNA from Carassius auratus (goldfish), 1412 nucleotides. RefSeq lists it as uncharacterized. The transcript has 4 exons. NCBI's taxonomy places the organism in Eukaryota, Metazoa, Chordata, Actinopteri, Cypriniformes, Cyprinidae. The record is from RefSeq and is a predicted model, not a curated record.